ACUUAAAUAAUUUAAAUUUUAAAAUAUUGAUUUGUGGUUUCAAAUAUAUGAUUAUAUCAUUUUAGGUU
Molecule: transfer RNA, 68 nt
Filed under: Polythlipta liquidalis
Lineage: Eukaryota; Metazoa; Arthropoda; Insecta; Lepidoptera; Crambidae
Description: tRNA-His
Source: RNAcentral